AUUGAACGCUGGCGGCAUGCUUUACACAUGCAAGUCGGACGGCAGCACAGAGAAGCUUGCUUCUUGGGUGGCGAGUGGCGAACGGGUGAGUAAUAUAUCGGAACGUACCGAGUAAUGGGGGAUAACUAAUCGAAAGAUUAGCUAAUACCGCAUAUUCUCUGAGGAGGAAAGCAGGGGACCUUCGGGCCUUGCGUUAUUCGAGCGGCCGAUAUCUGAUUAGCUAGUUGGUGGGGUAAGGCCUACCAAGGCGACGAUCAGUAGCGGGUCUGAGAGGAUGAUCCGCCACACUGGGACUGAGACACGGCCCAGACUCCUACGGGAGGCAGCAGUGGGGAAUUUUGGACAAUGGGCGCAAGCCUGAUCCAGCCAUGCCGCGUGUCUGAAGAAGGCCUUCGGGUUGUAAAGGACUUUUGUCAGGGAAGAAAAGGCUGUUGCUAAUACCGACAGCUGAUGACGGUACCUGAAGAAUAAGCACCGGCUAACUACGUG
RNAcentral lists this ribosomal RNA (489 nucleotides) under uncultured bacterium. RNAcentral describes it as "partial 16S ribosomal RNA". It matches the Rfam family "Bacterial small subunit ribosomal RNA", at positions 30 to 507 of the family's 1533-position model. The record is from RNAcentral.